GGGGUUGUAGCUCAGUGGUAGAGCACUUGCCUAGCACGUGUGAAGCCCUGGGUCCAAUCCUCACAACCACA
This 71-nucleotide transfer RNA is filed under the name Ictidomys tridecemlineatus (thirteen-lined ground squirrel). RNAcentral describes it as "Spermophilus tridecemlineatus (thirteen-lined ground squirrel) tRNA". It matches the Rfam family "tRNA". From Rfam's summary of the family: Transfer RNA (tRNA) molecules are approximately 80 nucleotides in length. Their secondary structure includes four short double-helical elements and three loops (D, anti-codon, and T loops). The record is from Rfam by way of RNAcentral. RNAcentral also lists the same sequence under 1 other name. Lineage: Eukaryota; Metazoa; Chordata; Mammalia; Rodentia; Sciuridae.